Long non-coding RNA from Lemur catta (Ring-tailed lemur), 2356 nucleotides. RefSeq lists it as uncharacterized. The record is from RefSeq and is a predicted model, not a curated record. The transcript has 6 exons. NCBI's taxonomy places the organism in Eukaryota, Metazoa, Chordata, Mammalia, Primates, Lemuridae.
CGCCGCGCGGAGCGAGGUCCUGGCGUGGGGCCGCGCGACGGGGCCGCGUCCUGCCCCUCAGGCCCGGGGCGCGUCGACUCCCGCGCUCCGCCAGCUCCCGUUUACAUUGCUUGUGUGCACCCUGGUGAGGCAGUGAUGGGAGGCGGAACAUGGCAGUGUGCAAAGAGCAACAGGCCUGGGAGUUUAAAAUGCUACGGAGAUUCAUUCAUUCGUUCAACUUACUUGAUCAACAGCUGCCCAGGCUGGGUCACAUCAUGGUCCUAUGGAUAACUGAAGAGUUGAUGGUGGUUUCCCGGAAACAUGAUUGUUGGACUUGAUCUCACAGCCUGGUGAGGACUUCUCUACUGCGAAUGUCAAGUUCAGGUUAUCCUCCCACCUCUGUCUAGUAUACCUAUCCCAACACCCACCACCAGCAGGAAUGAUUCUAAAAUCUACACAUGAUCUUGUCACCUUUUUGCUUACGAUGUCACACUUCCAGGAAAAUGGACCGAUGCCCCAAUGCCUCGUCAAGGCAGAUGCAAGAGGCUGGAUGCCAAUCCCAGCCUCCCUGAGUGACUUGGGAAUGUGUGAGGAUGACUGGCCUAAGCUUAAGUUAUAGAAAAAGACACACAACAAAGAGACAUUUAAACAUCUUUAAAUAUUAAUACCAAAAUCAGAAAGUGUGUUUCCUUGGAGGAGGGGCCCAGGUGGCGGGCCAGAAGCAGACUGCACACGCUGCUUUCACGAAGAAGAUCGAAAGUGCUCAGUGGAUAUUCACUUUCAGAUUGGUGAUCUAAAAGAGAACAUUGGGAAUCAAUAUGAAGUCUGAGCUGUGUAAGGGACCCUCCACUGUAGCAGGCUGCUGGACUGACAGAGAGAGUUGACUGGAGACUGUGCCGUGGUGCGGCUUUGGUGAGAAGUCUUGGCAGGGCCCCACUAGCGGGAACCCUGGGUGGCAUGGCUGGUAGCAUUUUGAGAUCACAGCCCGAGAGCACUGUGUCUAUUAGGGGUCAGGUCAACCAUUGCUACUGCCUCCCCAGUGCCCCUGCCAGGCCAGGGAGGGAGCAGAGAGGCUGGGGGCUCUUGCAUGGCCCUUGGGCAGGUGCCAUGUGCCCCCACCACUGGUGGGGGACUUGGGUAGUGUCAAAGAUUGGGCCGCCAUGUGCUGGUCCCUGCUGCCACUGAUGAUCUUGGGUUGGGCAGUGCUUAAGCCACCAUGGGCCAGUGAACACUGCUGCCCACAGACAUGAGUGGGGCAGCACUAAGGUAGACACGAGCAGACAAUUGCUAUUCCUAUAUUAUGUUGUUUCUGUUUCCACAUCACCUUUUCAUCUAUAUUGUCUUUAUCCUCACUUUCUCUUCUCCAGAUUGCUCUGUGAAAUGCCUAAUUAAACUCUUGGUCUCAUUACUCCACACUCUUCCCUUACCAUUUUCUAGUUAUCUAAUCCUUGGCUCAAGACUAAUUCUUAUCAUUGUUUCGUGUAGAGCUUUUAUUUAUUUCCUGUGUCUAUCUGUCUGUCAUCAAUCAUCAAUCUGUUGAUCUAUUCAUAAGGAUACAUUGUUAACACUCAUUGAUCCACCAUCCGACCUGAAAAUUAGAAUUUAGUAAUAGCCUACAUCAACUAAUUGUAGCCCCACUUUCAUUCCCUUGUGUCUGCUCUUACGAAUCUUCUAGUCUUGAACCUAUAUUCAUCUUCCCCUUGCUUUUGUUUUUAAUGGACUUUUAUGGUAUCUAUCCUAGAAAGUGGUUUUUUAAAAAAUCGUGUUAGUUAUUUAUAGCCUUAUAAGAAUUUAUCAGUAAUAAUCUCUGGAUAUACACUUUUUAAACUUAAAAUUAUGCUGCUAAGAUCAGCCAAAUUGGGGCAUUUCUCUAUGAAUCAUUCAGGGGAAAAAAAAGCUAUUUCUCCACUGGUUUGAGUGACUGAUCCCAAUUACCCAGGACAUUGUGUUGCUGCUACACAAUGAGGGGCAAGGAUCACAACCAUGUCUCGGGUGCUUCUUAAUAUUUCCAUGUCCAAUAGCAAAGAUUAAUAAAACCUGCGGUAACAAAAAUAAAAAAGUAGUACUAUGGCAGUUUCAGACCCCUCAAAAAUAAAAGUUUGGGUCGCCUCACUAAAUAAUGACCAAAUGGCAGCUGUUUAGCAGCUCCCCUCAGAGAUUUGGGGAUCGGAUAUGUGGUCAUCCCUCCUCUGAACUCCUAGGUUCUGAUAACACCACUCUUCCCUUUUUCUACCCCUAGUCCUGGUAGAAGUAACAUAUUUCUACAGUUAAUAACUUUUGAGUUAUAGUAGAACGUUUUUCACCUUUAGUCUCUUUCAGAAUACAACUAAGUAUCUAAUUCUCUGUUUUAAAUCGUUUUGUUUAAAAACACUGGGUG